UGGUAUCAAUUGCAGUCAAUUUGAUCGUAUUCCGGUCAAUAUAUAUUUCAAACAUAUUAUAUCGAUCGUUUCUUUAGUACAUCGUGUUUCCAACGUUUUCAAUCAUCGCGCACAAAAAUCAUCCACUCGAUCACAGACGAAAAUCGUCCACUCAAUCACAGAAAAGAGUUGUUCGUAUCAAGGGAUUAUAAUGAGAUGUUUUGGCAUCAUAGCAGAAUCGUCGACUAGGGUUUAUGGGUUUUCUAAGAAUCUGCCGGUAUCAUCAUCUUUUUUCUUUGUUCUCAAACAUAUGUUGUAUUUUACCAUCGUGUUUACAAUUUUUUUUUUAACGUGAUUUGUAAAAUUGUCGGAUUUAUGGUUUUGGAAGUAUAUUUUUCAUUAUAUUAUGAUAUAAUAUUCGAUUGGAUAUGGAUGGUUCUAGGAACAAAUUGUCAAUUUGACUUUUGAGUUUCAUGAGAUUUUAGAUGAAGUGGGAAGGAUAAGAAGAAACCUAUUUUGGCAUGUGUUGUAAUGUAUCUGUAAGCUUUUGGUUAUACGUUCGCUGCAUCUUUUUUCUCUUUAAUCUUCAUGAAAAUGCUAUGUGUACUUAGUGAUAUACUGAUUCGGUUUAAGGCCUGAAGAAUGAUUUAGUUAAAGGAUUUAUCCUGCUGAAGAAUUAGUCUAAUAAAUAUGGCUUGCAAAUUCUAUCCACCAAGUGCUCGAUAUAAUGCCAAGGUGAGUUCCAAUUUAAUGUUUUGACUUUUUAUUGAAUAUGAUGAAGAUCAUUGGUCAAAGAAUUCAACUUUAGGUUUGUAGGACACUCUGACCAUAUCUAAUGUAGUGAAAUUUGGUUGAGGAACUGAAUCUCCAAACUUCUUCUUUUGUUGAGGAAGUGAUUUGUUUCGUUAGCAGGUAUCUUACCAAGUGAGUGACAUUUCUAGGAACUUUAAUAUUCAAGAACGGUUUAGAAAAGAUUGGUUCAUAAAAUGAUUGAAACAAGAGCUUAAGCUUUUAAAUACCUUCUCUGUUUCUUUAAAUUUUUAGAUAGAAACGAAUUUUCAAUUUGUUUUUGUCCAGGUCUAACCAAUAUUUUUAUGUGUGAUUUCGGUACCCAUGAUCUUCUUUCUGACAAGUUAAUUGCAUUCGUUUCUUUAUUUUGAAAACUAGAUGUGCCAUUUCAAUUUUAAAAUUCUUAAAUCCAAAAUCAGAUGUAAACCUUUGAUUCUCUGGGUUGGUGAUGGAGUCGGCCUUGAAUAGGGUCGACAAUGUCUAAAGAAGUGGGGGUUUCGUAAAUGUGAAGAUAUACACCUGGAUUGCACCAUUAUUCACAUACUUUGUUUCAACACUCAAAGGUUGAAUUUCAUUAGACUAUCUUAAUUAUUUUGGAAUAUGUUCAUGGCAUUUCCUUAGUUUUAUGUUCAAUUGUUUUUAGAUACGAUAUGAUAUGAGUUCGUGUGUCUACAAUUGAUUGUAGAUCUUAUAUGUUUUGUUUGAAUGUAGAUAUGAUAUGAUUUCUUUC
Molecule: non-coding RNA, 1498 nt
Organism: Lactuca sativa (garden lettuce)
Lineage: Eukaryota; Viridiplantae; Streptophyta; Magnoliopsida; Asterales; Asteraceae
Source: RefSeq, a predicted model, not a curated record